Molecule: long non-coding RNA, 225 nt
Organism: Dreissena polymorpha
Lineage: Eukaryota; Metazoa; Mollusca; Bivalvia; Myida; Dreissenidae
Exons: 2
Source: RefSeq, a predicted model, not a curated record
GAGCAUUUCUGUAAUCGUUGAUAUCCAUGUGCGUUGCUGUUCCUCAUCCAGUCCAGAGGUUGCCAUCAAAUUCCUUUCUGGAAUCAUAUAGUAUGGUAGCUCUAAGGUGAUCAAUGCAACUCUAAGCGCAUCCAAUGCUUCAUGCAACCACUGCAAAAUACUUUUUUUAUGAAACGAGGCUUGAGGAUUAUUUUCCGCCAUCCAUAAAACGAUGUUUUUCAAUGU